Molecule: ribosomal RNA, 106 nt
Filed under: Octodon degus (degu)
Lineage: Eukaryota; Metazoa; Chordata; Mammalia; Rodentia; Octodontidae
Source: RNAcentral
GUGGUUGGCCGUACUAACUAGAACAUGCCUGAACUUGUCUGCUCUCAGAAAUGAAGUUGGGUGGGAUGGGAAGUAUUUGGAUGGGAGAAAAUAAGAGUUGGUUACU